ACAGCAGUAGCCGCGGGAAUACGUAGGAUGCGAGCGUUAAUCGGAAUUACUGGGCGUAAAGCGUGCGCAGGCGGUUAUAUAAGACAGAUGUGAAAUCCCCGGGCUCAACCUGGGACCUGCAUUUGUGACUGUAUAGCUAGAGUACGGUAGAGGGGGAUGGAAUUCCGCGUGUAGCAGUGAAAUGCGUAGAUAUGCGGAGGAACACCGAUGGCGAAGGCAAUCCCCUGGACCUGUACUGACGCUCAUGCACGAAAGCGUGUGGAGCAAACAGGAUUAGAUACCCCAGUAGUCCCUGUCUCUUAUAC
This 305-nucleotide ribosomal RNA is filed under the name uncultured bacterium. Its description in RNAcentral is "partial 16S ribosomal RNA". It matches the Rfam family "Bacterial small subunit ribosomal RNA", at positions 506 to 807 of the family's 1533-position model. The record is from RNAcentral.